GACCAUCCGCGCCAAUGUCAUCGGAUCCGUUUGAUCACACGAUUAAAGAUUUCACCACCGUUCUUAUUUUCCGUCUCUGUUUUUUUGCGUUUCACGAUCUUUACCAAAUCAUGGACCGACAGUCGGAGGUGGUGACGCAAACCAUGGAUGAUGCAUCAUAUGCGUCGUUAUGACGAGAUUCAGGUUUGUUGCUUCUAUUUUGAUCUCUUGGAACCUUGGAUUUAUAAUUUUAGCGCAACUU
Molecule: long non-coding RNA, 241 nt
Organism: Arabidopsis thaliana (thale cress)
Lineage: Eukaryota; Viridiplantae; Streptophyta; Magnoliopsida; Brassicales; Brassicaceae
Product: other RNA
Exons: 1
Source: RefSeq